UUUACAUAUCCGUGUGGAGGUAUAUCAGGGCUCGUGCUGAUGCGAUGCAAGGAUGCCUGAAAGCUUUCAGUCCCUGCGCACUGGACGCAAGGGAAAUGAAAGUGCCGCGACGGAGAGCCCUGCCACGCGUCGGGGACGACAACACUGCAACUGAGCUCGGGGAUGGAGGGAGAGAGAGAGAGAGAGAGAGACGGGCUCCUGCGUGCUCCUGCUCAAAUGACCCGCUGGUCCUGCAAGACAAAAAAAGAGACAGACAGACAGAGUGAGAGAGAAAGAGGACCGGUCAUUUGACUGUGAUGUGUCGCUGUGGCAGACCUGGGCCGAGGCUGAGAGAGAGCUGAUUGGAGGACGGCCAGCGGAACUCGGACGGCCCUGAGGAUGUUUAGCCCUCCCGCUGUGCAGCGGAGCAGGAGGCCAGUGUCCAGCCUUCCCCAGGGAAACAGCAGAAUGGUGCC
Long non-coding RNA from Alosa sapidissima (American shad), 455 nucleotides. RefSeq lists it as uncharacterized. The record is from RefSeq and is a predicted model, not a curated record. The transcript has 4 exons. Lineage: Eukaryota; Metazoa; Chordata; Actinopteri; Clupeiformes; Clupeidae.